UNGCUUGUGUUCAGUAUUGAAAGUCUGCCU
Molecule: non-coding RNA, 30 nt
Filed under: Mus musculus (house mouse)
Lineage: Eukaryota; Metazoa; Chordata; Mammalia; Rodentia; Muridae
Source: RNAcentral